Molecule: ribosomal RNA, 252 nt
Filed under: uncultured bacterium
Lineage: Bacteria
Description: partial 16S ribosomal RNA
Rfam family: Bacterial small subunit ribosomal RNA
Source: RNAcentral
UACGUAGGGGGCUAGCGUUGUCCGGAAUCAUUGGGCGUAAAGCGCGCGUAGGCGGCCCGGUAAGUCCGCUGUAAAAGUCAGAGGCUCAACCUUUGAAUGUCAGUGGAUACUGCCGGGCUAGAGUCCGGAAGAGGCGAGUGGAAUCCUGGUGUAGCGGUGGAAUGCGCAGAUAUCAGGAGGAACACCGACGGCGAAGGCAGCUCGCUGGGACGGUACUGACGCUGAGGCGCGAAAGCGUGGGGAGCGAACAGG